This 1357-nucleotide long non-coding RNA is filed under the name Cyanistes caeruleus (blue tit). Its description in RNAcentral is "lncRNA (ENSCCEG00000009775.1)". Lineage: Eukaryota; Metazoa; Chordata; Aves; Passeriformes; Paridae. The record is from RNAcentral.
UCAAAAGCUUUGCUCAAGUCAAAGUAGACGAUAUCCACAACUCUCAUCUUGUCCAUCCAAGUGGUUGUUUCAUUGUAGAAGGCAAUCAGAUUGGUCAAGAUUGAUUUAUGUUGGUGAAUCCAUGCUGACUGCUUCUGAUAACCGUUUUGCCGUCCAUAUGGAUGUUGACAGCCUUCACAGUGAAGCAUUCCAUCCUUUCUGAAGAUUUAGGAGAGGCUGUCUAACUGGUAGUCCCUUGGGUCCUUCCUGUCCUUGAAGAUUGGAGUGAUGUUUACUUAAUUUCAGACUUCAGGAACCUUUCUGUAUCAUUGCAACCUUUCAUAAAGGAUCUCUGAGAUGAGCAGCAUCUCAGCACUUCUGGAUGCAUCCAUUAGGGGCCACGGAUUUUUAGGUGUCCAGUUUGCCUUGAUGUUCUCUCAAGGUGACCCCAGCUCCCCCUGACAAAGGGAAAGUGUCCCUUCCAAAAUUUCUUUACCCUGGUCUCCUGAGUCAAGGAUUUCUGAGGGCUGAUCCUGUCAGUGAAGACCUAUCCAAAGUAGGUGUUCAGUAACUGCCUUCUCUGUGUCCUGUUAACAGGAUCCCCUCUGUAUUUAGUAGCAGAUCCACAUCAAUACCAUCAUGCUAACCACUAUAAAAAUACAGAAACUUACAUGAUUAAAACUGACCUCCUUAUAAUAAUUUGGCCAGAUUAAAGCUAAGUAAGUGAUAGGAUUUUUCUGUGGAAGCCCUAUGAGCCACUGCAUGUACACAGGCUCUUACUGCUCCUAGAAGUGAAGGCUACUAUUGGCUGCACACCAUGAUUUUACUCCAUAAACAUUCCUGUAUAUUGACAGUGGUUUUGUAUCAGUCUUCUCAGAUAUAGUAGGACUGCUGGUUGUUUUAGGUUUUCUUGGAGGUGGGAUUCUCUGGUCUCUCAUCAUUGUUCCUAUUUCUUGUAGACAUACAGCACUGUGCUUUGCAGGCCAAGGAAGAGAGGCCUCUCCACAGUCUGCUGCAGUGCUGCUACCUCAGGAACUGAAAUCUUAACCUUUACAAGUGGAACUGUAAUUUCCAGUCUUUCUAAGAAGCAUCCAUUCCUUUCAGCUCUGCAACUCCUGGUUCACAUCAGUCCUGUUAAAGGUCAGAGCAAUAGUUUGCCAAGUUUGUAACUUGAAUGUACAGUAUAGAACGUUUAAAACCCUCACUCCUGACUAUCAAAACAAAGGCAGUAAAAAGAAAACUCAAACAUUUUUGAAUGAAACGUAGCCAAUUAAUUGAAAAAAUAAUGUUCUGCUUCUAGACACUUGCUGAGCUGAAGAAGCUGAAUUAUAAGAGAAAUAAUUUAAAAAGAAUUAUCUAUGACAUUUACAGGAUCAAU